CAGGACGCCACGUCAAGCAGCCAAUCAGAAGGCGAGGCGCCCAUUCAAAUUGCGGCCACGGCGGGAGCCGGCGCUGAGGUAGACUAAAGAAAUAGGAACAAGGAUCUUGUCUUUGAAGUCCAUAGCAUGAAUCACAGAGCCCGGCAUACAAUAGAUCACUCAAAUAAAUAAUUGUUCAGGAGUCACUGGAAGCCUUUUGAGGACAGAGAUUUGUCAGAAGCUGCUUGGAAGUGAUAUCUGAGCUGGAGAUUGUGAUUUAUUCUAACGUAUACCUCGGAGAACUUACUUUUACAGUAGGAGAUUCUCAAUAUUUUUGAAGCACUCUGUUUUUUAAGAGUAGGAAGAAAUAAAUUAUUGCAAGAAAGAGAGUUUCUAUCUGAGAGGGACAGAGGAGGCCCUGGAAAGUGGGUUGCCCGCCAAGCAUGUUUGUAAUCUGCAAUCUGUUUUUGUGUAUGUGUGUGUUCAGCAGAUAUGUUGGGAAACAUGUAUAUGAAAUGGCUGGAAAUCAAAUGAAGAUCCAAAGAAGAGUUUAGGUUCUUAACAUUCUUUUAAGAAGAACUUGCUGCCAAAAUGUCAGCACACACUAUUCAUAAUAGAAGUAACCGUGAUUUCCUGGAAGUUCCUUCUUCCCAAAAGAGUUCAUCACUGAGUACCCUCACCCACAGUAGCCGAUUCAAGUUUCCUUUGAAGUCAGAGAUGUCAGAAUAUGAAAAGGGUGAUUCAUUAUUGAGAUCUGCACGUACAAUCAGAGACUUAAAUAGCACUUAUGUUAUUUCUGCCUGUAAAACAACAGGAGAUAUGCCCCUUACCAUUAACCCUACAGAGAGAUUGACACUUCAGAGAAGAGCUACAAGAAACAAAGAAUCCUCUUUACUUAGUAGUGAGUCUAGAGACACAACUGAAAAGACAGCUGAAGCAAGUCUUACUCUACAGCGUCGUGCUAAAACAGUUUCUGUAGAAAAGUGGAAAACAGCUAAAGCAGAUUCUGUUGCGAAGUGGAAAACACGGCAGGAUGUGGGAAGUGAAACAGAAAGUAAUUGUGCUUCACAGAGAACUAGGACAAAUGUAAAGUUUGUAAAUAACAAUAAAAAUUCUUUUGUUACAUCUUCUACACAGAUAGCUGAAGACUCAAAAGACGCUAUGUUAAUGGUUGAUCAGAAAUAUAAAACAUUUUCUGCCCCCAGUGGGGCAAAUGAAAAUACGCUUAAGCACUCAAGCAGUAGCACACUUGUGGGUUCCCAGGAUCAGAGGGAGGCUGGUGGACCAGGACCACUGGCAGCAAAACCUAUCCAGAGUAACUUGAAUAUCAAAGUGUCUGGAACAGGAAACUUACAUCCUAGUACUGGGAAGGACAUUGCAAAAAAUUCAAGUAAAUUUGGAAGUUUAGACAAAAGAAACCCUGUGAAAUGUAUGACAGAAUACAAAUCGACACCGAAGCAUGACCUGCCUCAGCUCAAGAGCUCAGGUACAUCGAUACUGAAAAAUAGGACGCCUAGCCUUCAAGUUAAACAAAGGCCAAAAAGUUCUCUUCUUUCAAGUAAAAGGGAAAUUUCUCAAAAAAAUACACUCCCUAUUCAAGAAACUGAAGUUCAGAACACCUCUAUAGAAACAGACUUCCUAAAAAUAGAGAAUAGUCAAGUAACUGUGGCAGUACGUGUAAGGCCUUUCAGCAAAAGAGAGAAGAUUGAAAAGGCAUCUCAGGUGGUCUUCAUGAACGGGGAAGAAAUAAUCGUGGAACAUCCUGACAUGAAGCAAGUUUAUAGUUUCAUUUAUGAUGUUUCAUUCUGGUCUUUUGAUCAGUGUCAUCCUCACUACGCUAGCCAGGUGACUGUCUAUGAGACAUUGGCAGCACCACUUCUAGAAAGAGCCUUUGAAGGCUACAACACCUGUCUCUUUGCUUAUGGUCAGACUGGCUCUGGAAAGUCAUACACGAUGAUGGGAUUUAGUGAAGAACCAGGAAUAAUUCCAAGAUUUUGUGAAGAUCUUUUUGCUCAAGUAGCCAAAAAACAAACCCAAGAGGUCAGCUAUCAUUUUGAAAUGAGCUUCUUUGAAGUAUAUAAUGAAAAAAUUCAUGACCUUCUGGUUUGUAAAGGUGAAAAUGGUCAGAGAAAGCAACCACUGAGAGUGAGAGAGCAUCCUGUUUCUGGACCAUUUGUUGAAGCUCUGUCAAUGAAUGUUAUUAGUUCUUACUCCGAUAUCCAGAGCUGGCUAGAACUGGGAAAUAAACAAAGGGCAACUGCUGCGACUGGUAUGAAUGAUAAAAGCUCCCGUUCUCAUUCAGUUUUUACCCUGGUGAUGACCCAGACCAAGACAGAAACCGUGGAAGGGGAAGAACAUGAUCACAGAAUAAUAAGCCGCAUCAAUCUGGUAGACCUGGCAGGCAGUGAGCGCUGUUCUGCAGCCCACACUAGUGAAGAUCGACUAAAGGAAGGUGUGAGCAUUAACAAGUCCUUACUAACUUUGGGAAAAGUUAUAUCUGCACUUUCUGAACAAGCAAACCGAAAGAGAGUUUUUAUUCCUUACCGUGAAUCUGUUCUUACGUGGUUAUUAAAAGAAAGUCUAGGUGGAAAUUCAAAAACUGCAAUGAUUGCUACAAUCAGCCCUGCUGCCAGCAACAUAGAAGAAACAUUAAGCACACUUAGAUAUGCUAACCAAGCUCGUCUGAUAGUCAACAUCGCCAGAGUAAAUGAGGAUAUAAAUGCGAAGUUAAUUAGAGAACUGAAAGCAGAAAUUGAAAAGCUAAAAGCUGCUCAGAGAAACAAUCUGAAUAUUGACCCUGAACGAUAUAGGCUUUGUCGGCAAGAAAUCACAUCCUUACGGAUGAAACUCCAUCAGCAGGAGAGAGACAUGGCAGAAAUGCAAAGAGUAUGGAAAGAAAAGUUUGAACAAGCUGAAAAAAGGAAACGUCAAGAAACAAAGGAGUUACAGAAAGCAGGAAUUACAUUUCAGAUGGACAACCGUUUGCCAAACCUUGUUAAUCUGAAUGAGGAUCCACAACUAUCUGAGAUGCUACUAUAUAUGAUAAAAGAAGGAACAACUACAGUUGGAAAGAAUAAACCAAAUUCAAGCCAUGACAUUCAGUUAUCUGGGGUACUAAUCGCUGAUGAUCACUGUACUGUCAGAAAUUUUGGAGGGACAGUGAGUAUUAUCCCAGUUGCUGAAGCAAAGACAUAUGUGAAUGGGAAACAUAUUUUGGAACCCACAGUGUUGCAUCAUGGUGAUCGGGUGAUUCUUGGUGGAGAUCAUUAUUUUAGAUUUAAUCACCCAGUUGAAGUCCAGAAAGGGAAAAGGCCAUCUAGUAGAGAUACUUUUAUAAGCGAGGGUCCUAAAGACUUUGAAUUUGCCAAAAAUGAGUUACUCAUGGCACAGAGAUCGCAACUUGAGGCAGAAAUAAAAGAGGCACAGUUGAAGGCAAAGGAAGAAAUGAUGCAAGGAAUCCAAAUUGCAAAAGAAAUGGCUCAGCAAGAACUUUCUUCUCAAAAAGCUGCAUAUGAAAGCAAAAUACAAGCACUAGAAGCAGAACUGAGAGAAGAAUCUCAAAGGAAGAAAAUGCAGGAAAUAAGUAACCAAAAGGCUAGUCACAAAAUUGAGGAAUUAGAAAAGACAAAGCUGCAUCUUGAACAGGAAGUGUAUGUCAAUAAAAAGCGAUUAGAAAUGGAAACUUUGGCUACAAAGCAGGCUUUAGAAGACCACAGCAUCCGUCAUGCAAAAAUUCUGGAAGCUUUAGAAACUGAAAAGCAAAAAAUUGCUAAAGAAGUACAACUUUUACAGCAGAGUCGGAAUAAUAGGGGUAAAACUUUUACAAUUCAGCCAAGUUGGAGCUCCAUGAAAGUCUCAAUGAUGAUUCAGGAAGCCAAUACCAUCAGCAGCAAGUUAAAAAAAUACUAUGUUUUUGGCAGGCAUGAUGCAUCAGUUAAAGGUAGUUCUGAGACAUCUAUUCGAGUUCGUAACCUGCAGCUUGGGGUCUCAACUUUCUGGAGUCUUGAAAAGUUUGAAUCUAAACUGGCAGCAAUGAAAGAACUUUAUGAGAGUAAUGGUACUAACAGAGGUGAAGAUGUUUUCUGUGACCCUGAAGAUGAAUGGGAACCUGACAUUACAAAUGCACCAGUUUCUUCAUUUUCCAGAAGGAGGAGCAGGAGUUUGAUGAAAAAUAGAAGAAUUUCUGAUUGUUUACAUGAUAUACAAGUCCACCCAAUGCAGAAUCUGUGUUCUUCACGUUCAUCAGGUUUAAUGGAGAAACCAAGCACCAUUUACUCAACUUCAGCAGAAUCAUUUCUUCCUGGAAUAUGCAAAGAAUUGAUUGGUUCAUCAAUGAAUUUUCUUGGACAUAGUUUUGAUGAAGAAAAAACUAUAGCAGAUAGUCUGAUAAAUAAUCUUUUAAAAAUUUAUAAUGGGCUACUUGUCAUCUCCAAAGCUCAUGAAGAACAAGACGAAGAAAGUCAAGACAACUUGUUCUCUUCAGAUCGAGCAGUGCAGUCAUGUACUGUCCAGAUUGCUUGCUCUUUUGAGCAGCUUGUGGUUUUAAUCAGACACUGGCUGAACGAUUUCCUACCUUGUACCUGCAUAGCAAAACUGGAAGAUGAAUUGAGACAGGAAAUGAAAAAACUGGGAGGCUACUUACAGUUAUUUUUGCAGGGAUGCUGUUCAGAUAUUUCAUCAAUGGUAAAAGAAGCUGAAAAGAAAGUGAUCCAGAUCAUACAACGAGCUGUUAAGUAUGUGGGAAAGUUAGCAGUUCUAAAAGGGAACAAGCUGUAUUUUCUGGAAGGCAGUCACAAUAAGGCUGCCAAUGUCCAGGAGGAAUUCAUCGAUGCUAUUUGUGAUGGUGUAGGCUCAGGAAUGAAGAUUCUGUUAGAUUCUAGUCUGGAAAAAGCAAAAGAACUUGAAUAUGACCUCUUACGGGAAUGUGCACAAAAUGAGGUUACCAAACAGAUGAAAGCAAAUGCCAUAGAACUGGUCAGAUCUCUUGAAAAUAUCUUUUCUGAAUGGAAAACAAAAAGCUUCAGAACUCAAGUACAAGAAGAUGAUUCUGGAUACCAGGAUUCCAAGAAGAUAACUGACCUUGCCCUGAAAUUGUUGAAGUUAAAGCACUGCUUAGAGAAAGCCAUUCAAAUUAGUAUUUCUACACUGAGAGGAUGCUGCAGCGAUGUGCAUCUCCUCAAGAAUUGUGUCGAGACAAUUUGCAGCUUGGUCAGCGAUAUUUGCAAUGACUUCAGUGAGCUCUCUACUUCUGUUGACCACUGUGAAAAUAAAAUAUCUCAAGUUGACCACAGGGAACUAGAAUCUCUAGCUAAGUCACUCCUCUUAUGUUUUGAAUCUGAAGAAAGACCUGAUUUAUUGAAACCCUGGGAAUCUUGUAAUCAAGAUACUGGAGGAGGAGAAGAAAAAGAAGAAUCUAACUCAGGCCAGACUGGGUGCAGUAGGAAUAAAAGUGUACCGAAGCGUGUCUAUGAACUGCAUGAGGCGUGCCCAGCAGCGAGCUCGGAGAAAGAAAAAUAAUACCACUUCAUGGACUAUGUCUAUGAGCGCUAUAUGAGAAAAGUGUGGGAAUAACUCCUGCUAUCCUUCCAAACCAUGACCUACUCAGUGUCUUCUGGAUGGACAUUGUGUGACCUGACCCCUAACUUCUGGUUGACACAAGAAAAAGCAUCUUUCCUCCUCUCCACUUCAUUUAAUUCUACCCAUCACUCAGAUUCUGCUUCUUUGUGAAAACUUUCAGUCAAUUGAAUGCCUGUUGUGUGACAGGAAGGGCAACAAGAUACUGGAUAUGUAAUGGCAAAGGAGAUAGCCCAACAUCUUCUCCCACAGAGCUUGCAUUCUAGGUGGAAGACAGGCAAGUCAGCAGCAAUGACAAUGUGGCAUGACCAAGGCUCUGACAGAGGAAGCAUGUGACCCAGUUUGAUAUUUAAGGUCCGAUUCAGAAAAUGAGGGGGAGCUUAGCGAGGUGAGGAGGUAGGACACUGAACAUCUCAGUAGAGAGAACAACACAUGCAAAGGUCCAGAAAAAAAGACAGCCUGGUGCCAGGCCAGUGGAAGUGGAAUUGAUGGAAAAACAGGUGAGUAUAGAGAUUGGUAUAUUAGGCAGCUUUCUGCCACUGUGACAAGAUUCCUGAGACAAACACAUUAUAUGGAGGAAAGGUUUAGUUGUCUCAUAGUUUCAGUUCAUGUUCCCUUGGCCUUGUUGCUUUAGGCCUGUGAUGGUACAGUAUAUCACAGCAGAAGCACAUGGUCUGUCUACCUCAUGGCAUCUGGGAAGCAAAGAGAGAGAGGCAAGUGACAGUUUCAGUAUCCCUUGCAGUGGCACCUUCUAAUGACUCAACUUCUCACCACUAGGCCCCGCCUCAUAAAGGUUCCACCGCAUUCUAAUUGUGCCAUCGCCUGUGGAUCAAACCUUUAAUGCAUGGGCCUUUGAGGAAAUCCAAACUAUAGUACUGAAGCAGGAGAUGUUAGUUGUGUAAUGGAGUUUGGUCAUUGAAGGGUUUUAAGCCAGGAUGUGAUUUUGAAUUUGAGUUCUGGAAAGAACCUGUUGUCAGGAGCAUAUAGGUUAGACUGGAGAUGGGGGAGGCUGCUUGGGAGGUGAUCUCUGGAAGCCUGGAUUAGGGAUAUGGUAACAUAUAUGGAGAUAAGUAUAUAGAUUCUAGAACUAUUUAGAAGAGAGACAAAAUAUUUUGACUUGGUGAAGGAAGAAUUGAGAUGAAUGAAGGGAAAAAAUUGAUGCUCAGGUAUUUGGCUUAAGCAACCAGGUAGAUGGUAGUACAGUUUACGGAGACAGGAAGUACCAGAGAAAGAGUAUAGUGAGGGAAUUGUUUUGCUAGGGCUGCCGUAACAGGUACUAAAAAGUAGGGGGCUUAACCAAUAAAAAUUUUUUUCUAGCAAUUCUGGAAGCUAGAUGUUCCAGGGCUAGCUCCUUCUGAGAGUUACAAGGUUUUGCGUGUGUCUCUUUGGCUUGUGAAUGAUCACCUCCCCUCUUUGCCUGUUUCUUCAUUUUCCCUUGGUGUCCUUCUAGAAAUAAUCUCAUUUAAAUUGAUUACUUCUGAAAAGACAAAGUCACAUUCAGAGGUACUAGGGGUUAAGACUUCAUAUAAAUUGGGAGGGACACAGUUCAACCCGUAGCAGGAGAUAUAAUAGGUCUGGUGAUUUGAGGGAACUUGGCACAUUUAGGUUUUAUGUCCAGUAAGAACUAAGAAUCUGAGUCUGAAGUGUGAGAAGAUGCUACUUAUUAAGUUUUUGUAUUUUCACAUUGUGAUGGAUCUUUCCCUUUGUCACACAGGCCUUGUUGCUCUAAUAAAUACA
Molecule: RNA transcript, 7290 nt
Organism: Chinchilla lanigera (long-tailed chinchilla)
Lineage: Eukaryota; Metazoa; Chordata; Mammalia; Rodentia; Chinchillidae
Gene: Kif14
Gene name: kinesin family member 14
Exons: 32
Source: RefSeq, a predicted model, not a curated record